This 648-nucleotide ribosomal RNA is filed under the name uncultured bacterium. RNAcentral describes it as "bacterial SSU rRNA". It matches the Rfam family "Bacterial small subunit ribosomal RNA", at positions 104 to 746 of the family's 1533-position model. The record is from RNAcentral.
GGGUGAGUAAUAUAUCGGAACGUGCCCAGUCGUGGGGGAUAACGCAGCGAAAGCUGUGCUAAUACCGCAUACGAUCUCUGGAUGAAAGCGGGGGACUCGCAAGAGCCUCGCGCGAUUGGAGCGGCCGAUAUCAGAUUAGCUAGUUGGCGGGGUAAAAGCCCACCAAGGCGACGAUCUGUAGCUGGUCUGAGAGGACGACCAGCCACACUGGAACUGAGACACGGUCCAGACUCCUACGGGAGGCAGCAGUGGGGAAUUUUGGACAAUGGGCGAAAGCCUGAUCCAGCAAUGCCGCGUGCAGGAUGAAGGCCUUCGGGUUGUAAACUGCUUUUGUACGGAACGAAACGGUCUGCCUUAAUACGGUGGGCUAAUGACGGUACCGUAAGAAUAAGCACCGGCUAACUACGUGCCAGCAGCCGCGGUAAUACGUAGGGUGCGAGCGUUAAUCGGAAUUACUGGGCGUAAAGCGUGCGCAGGCGGUUAUAUAAGACAGGUGUGAAAUCCCCGGGCCCAACCUGGGACCUGCAUUUGUGACUGUAUAGCUAGAGUACGGUAGAGGGGGAUGGAAUUCCGCGUGUAGCAGUGAAAUGCGUAGAUAUGCGGAGGAACACCGAUGGCGAAGGCAAUCCCCUGGACCUGUACUGACGC